AUUAACACUUACUUAUACAGUGGGUGUGUCCAGGGGGUGGUGGGAGUAUUACUGGUGAGGAGGUCCUCAGUUCAGCGUGACACUGACCAGCUCUCUGCACAGAUAUAUCUCCUCCACACCUGAUCUCUUCCAACUCUGUAGCUCUAUUCACCAUUAUGGCCGUGCUGUGGAUCCAAACUGCAUUUCUGCUGGUUUUACUGGUCAUGUCGCAGCCAAGCUCUUCGUACUCUGUGUCGCCACUGUCGCUUUGUGGCUCUGAGCUGAUCGACAUCCUCAACUUUGUUUGUGAAGACAGAGGUUUCGGACUAUCAGCGCUGAGCCGUCGCUCCAAUAAAAGGGAGAGGGACAGGCAAAUAUCAACACUUAUGAAAUGCUGUGGAGCUGUAGACUGCAACCUCAAUGACCUGGAGGAAUUCUGCCUUCCAGAAAGACACAAGGAAGCUAGAAAUUAGUGUUGACUUUGUUUACCUAGCCUUGUUUAGCAUAGCUAAGCUUCUUGACAACCUAUCAGCUCACCAGCAGUGCUGCCAUCUCACUGUAAAGUCAACUGUUCAUAGUUUGACCAAAUUAUUUUUCAGCAAAAAUAAAGUGUUGUAACUGAGGAAGACAGUUGUUCUUUGAAAGUUUUUUUUUUAAUAAUUAUUAAUAUUGCAAAUGUCACACUCGCUAUAAGUCACAUAAUAAUAAAUACCU
Anabas testudineus (climbing perch) is the source of this 693-nucleotide long non-coding RNA. Lineage: Eukaryota; Metazoa; Chordata; Actinopteri; Anabantiformes; Anabantidae. The record is from Ensembl.